UACGAAAGGGGCUAGCGUUGUUCGGAAUUACUGGGCGUAAAGCGCGCGUAGGCGGACUGUCAAGUUGGGGGUGAAAUCCCGGGGCUCAACCUCGGAACUGCCUCCAAAACUGUCAGUCUAGAGGAUGUGAGAGGAUAGUGGAAUUCCGAGUGUAGAGGUGAAAUUCGUAGAUAUUCGGAAGAACACCGGUGGCGAAGGCGACUGUCUGGCACAUUUCUGACGCUGAGGUGAGAAAGCGUGGGGAGCAAACAGG
This 253-nucleotide ribosomal RNA is filed under the name uncultured bacterium. RNAcentral describes it as "partial 16S ribosomal RNA". It matches the Rfam family "Bacterial small subunit ribosomal RNA", at positions 524 to 776 of the family's 1533-position model. The record is from RNAcentral.